UAAAUUUAACAUCGUGCGGCGGCUACCAUGCAGUCGAACGGUAGCACAGAGAGCUUGCUCUCGGGUGACGAGUGGCGGACGGGUGAGUAAUGUCUGGGAAACUGCCCGAUGGAGGGGGAUAACUACUGGAAACGGUAGCUAAUACCGCAUAACGUCGCAAGACCAAAGAGGGGGACCUUCGGGCCUCUUGCCAUCGGAUGUGCCCAGAUGGGAUUAGCUGGUAGGUGAGGUAACGGCUCACCUAGGCGACGAUCCCUAGCUGGUCUGAGAGGAUGACCAGCCACACUGGAACUGAGACACGGUCCAGACUCCUACGGGAGGCAGCAGUGGGGAAUAUUGCACAAUGGGCGCAAGCCUGAUGCAGCCAUGCCGCGUGUAUGAAGAAGGCCUUCGGGUUGUAAAGUACUUUCAGCGGGGAGGAAGGGAGUGAGGUUAAUAACCUUAUUCAUUGACGUUACCCGCAGAAGAAGCACCGGCUAACUCCGUGCCAACAUCCGCGGUAAUACGGAGGGUGCAAGCGUUAAUCGGAAUUACUGGGCGUAAAGCGCACGCAGGCGGUCUGUCAAGUCGGAUGUGAAAUCCCCGGGCUCAACCUGGGAACUGCAUUCGAAACUGGCAGGCUGGAGUCUUGUAGAGGGGGGUAGAAUUCCAGGUGUAGCGGUGAAAUGCGUAGAGAUCUGGAGGAAUACCGGUGGCGAAGGCGGCCCCCUGGACAAAGACUGACGCUCAGGUGCGAAAGCGUGGGGAGCAAACAGGAUUAGAUACCCUGGUAGUCCACGCUGUAAACGAUGUCGACUUGGAGGUUGUUCCCUUGAGGAGUGGCUUCCGGAGCUAACGCGUUAAGUCGACCGCCUGGGGAGUACGGCCGCAAGGUUAAAACUCAAAUGAAUUGACGGGGGCCCGCACAAGCGGUGGAGCAUGUGGUUUAAUUCGAUGCAACGCGAAAAAACCUUACCUACUCUUGACAUCCACAGAACUUAGCAGAGAUGCCUUUGGUGCCUUCGGGAACUCUGAAACAGGUGCUGCAUGGCUGUCGUCAGCUCGUGUUGUGAAAUGUUUGGUUAAGUCCGGCAACGAGCGCAACCCUUAUCCUUUGUUGCCACCGAUUCCGUCGGGAAACUCAAAGGAAACUGCCCAUUGAUAAACUGGAAGGAAGGUGGGGGAUGAACUUCAAGUCAUCCAUGGCCCCUUACCAAAUAGGGGCUACCAACCGUGCCUACAAUGGGCCUUUACCAAAGGAA
This 1241-nucleotide ribosomal RNA is filed under the name uncultured Klebsiella sp. RNAcentral's name for it is "bacterial SSU rRNA". It matches the Rfam family "Bacterial small subunit ribosomal RNA", at positions 25 to 1248 of the family's 1533-position model. The record is from RNAcentral. Lineage: Bacteria; Pseudomonadati; Pseudomonadota; Gammaproteobacteria; Enterobacterales; Enterobacteriaceae.